This 301-nucleotide ribosomal RNA is filed under the name uncultured bacterium. Its description in RNAcentral is "partial 16S ribosomal RNA". It matches the Rfam family "Bacterial small subunit ribosomal RNA", at positions 509 to 809 of the family's 1533-position model. The record is from RNAcentral.
CAGUAGCCGCGGUAAAACAGAGGGUGCGAGCGUUAAUCGGAUUUACUGGGCGUAAAGCGUGCGUAGGCGGCUUCUUAAGUCGGAUGUGAAAUCCCUGAGCUUAACUUAGGAAUUGCAUUCGAUACUGGGAAGCUAGAGUAUGGGAGAGGAUGGUAGAAUUCCAGGUGUAGCGGUGAAAUGCGUAGAGAUCUGGAGGAAUACCGAUGGCGAAGGCAGCCAUCUGGCCUAAUACUGACGCUGAGGUACGAAAGCAUGGGGAGCAAACAGGAUUAGAUACCCGGGUAGUCCCUGUCUCUUAUAA